This 240-nucleotide ribosomal RNA is filed under the name uncultured bacterium. RNAcentral describes it as "partial 16S ribosomal RNA". It matches the Rfam family "Bacterial small subunit ribosomal RNA", at positions 15 to 244 of the family's 1533-position model. The record is from RNAcentral.
GAUCAUGGCUCAGGAUGAACGCUAGCUACAGGCUUAACACAUGCAAGUCGAGGGGCAGCAUGGACCCAGCUUUGCUGGGUUUGAUGGCGACCGGCGCACGGGUGAGUAACGCGUAUCCAACCUGCCCUUUACUCCGGGAUAGUCUCCUGAAAGGGAGUUUAAUACCGGAUGUGUUUGUCUUUCCGCAUGGGAGCGACAAAUAAAGAUUAAUUGGUAAAGGAUGGGGAUGCGUCCCAUCAG